Molecule: small nuclear RNA, 101 nt
Filed under: Jaculus jaculus (lesser Egyptian jerboa)
Lineage: Eukaryota; Metazoa; Chordata; Mammalia; Rodentia; Dipodidae
Source: RNAcentral
CUGUUUGCUCCGGCAGCACAUAUAACUAAAAUUGGGACGAUACAGAGAAGAUUAGCAUGGCCCCUAAAGAAAUACAAAGACAAAAGAAAGAACUGGUGGGU